UAUAAGACUGGGAUAACUUCGGGAAACCGGAGCUAAUGCCGGAUAACAUUUGGAACCGCAUGGUUCUAAAGUAAAAGAUGGUUUUGCUAUCACUUAUAGAUGGACCCGCGCCGUAUUAGCUAGUUGGUAAGGUAACGGCUUACCAAGGCAACGAUACGUAGCCGACCUGAGAGGGUGAUCGGCCACACUGGAACUGAGACACGGUCCAGACUCCUACGGGAGGCAGCAGUAGGGAAUCUUCCGCAAUGGACGAAAGUCUGACGGAGCAACGCCGCGUGAGUGAUGAAGGUUUUCGGAUCGUAAAACUCUGUUAUUAGGAAAGAACAAAUGUGUAAGUAACUGUGCACAUCUUGACGGUACCUAAUCAGAAAGCCACGGCUAACUACGUGCCAGCAGCCGCGGUAAUACGUAGGUGGCAAGCGUUAUCCGGAAUUAUUGGGCGUAAAGCGCGCGUAGGCGGUUUCUUAAGUCUGAUGUGAAAGCCCACGGCUCAACCGUGGAGGGUCAUUGGAAACUGGGAAACUUGAGUACAGAAGAGGAAAGUGGAAUUCCAUGUGUAGCGGUGAAAUGCGCAGAGAUAUGGAGGAACACCAGUGGCGAAGGCGACUCUCUGGUCUGUGACUGACGCUGAUGUGCGAAAGCGUGGGGAUCAAACAGGAUUAGAUACCCUGGUAGUCCACGCCGUAAACGAUGAGUGCUAAGUGUUAGGGGGUUUCCGCCCCUUAGUGCUGCAGCUAACGCAUUAAGCACUCCGCCUGGGGAGUACGACCGCAAGGUUGAAACUCAAG
RNAcentral lists this ribosomal RNA (788 nucleotides) under uncultured Staphylococcus sp. RNAcentral describes it as "bacterial SSU rRNA". It matches the Rfam family "Bacterial small subunit ribosomal RNA", at positions 131 to 905 of the family's 1533-position model. Lineage: Bacteria; Bacillati; Bacillota; Bacilli; Caryophanales; Staphylococcaceae. The record is from RNAcentral.